RNAcentral lists this ribosomal RNA (469 nucleotides) under uncultured bacterium. Its description in RNAcentral is "partial 16S ribosomal RNA". It matches the Rfam family "Bacterial small subunit ribosomal RNA", at positions 28 to 507 of the family's 1533-position model. The record is from RNAcentral.
GACGAACGCUGGCGGCGUGCUUAACACAUGCAAGUCGAACGGAAAGGCCCUGCUUGCAGGGUGCUCGAGUGGCGAACGGGUGAGUAACACGUGGGUGAUCUGCCCCUUACUUUGGGAUAAGCCUGGGAAACUGGGUCUAAUACUGGAUAGGACCAUGCUGUAGGUGGUGUGGUGGAAAGAUUAGUUUCGGUAAGGGAUGAGCUCGCGGCCUAUCCGCUUGUUGGUGGGGUAAUGGCCUACCAAGGCGUCGACGGGUAGCCGGCCUGAGAGGGUGGACGGCCACAUGGGGACUGAGAUACGGCCCAGACUCCUACGGGAGGCAGCAGUGGGGAAUAUUGCACAAUGGGCGCAAGCCUGAUGCAGCGACGCCGCGUGGGGGAUGACGGCCUUCGGGUUGUAAACUCCUUUCAGCCAUGACGAAGCCCUUGUGAUGACGGUAGUGGUAGAAGAAGCACCGGCUAACUACGUG